Molecule: ribosomal RNA, 491 nt
Filed under: uncultured bacterium
Lineage: Bacteria
Description: partial 16S ribosomal RNA
Rfam family: Bacterial small subunit ribosomal RNA
Source: RNAcentral
UUGAACGCUGGCGGCAUGCUUUACACAUGCCAGUCGAACGGUAACAGGCCUUCGGGUGCUGACGAGUGGCGAACGGGUGAGUAAUGCAUCGGAACGUGCCCAGAGGUGGGGGAUAACGCAGCGAAAGCUGUGCUAAUACCGCAUGUGAUCUGAGGAUGAAAGCAGGGGACCAAGCAGCAAUGUUUGGCCUCGCGCCUCUGGAGCGGCCGAUGUCAGAUUAGGUAGUUGGUGGGGUAAAGGCCUACCAAGCCGACGAUCUGUAGCUGGUCUGAGAGGACGACCAGCCACACUGGGACUGAGACACGGCCCAGACUCCUACGGGAGGCAGCAGUGGGGAAUUUUGGACAAUGGGCGCAAGCCUGAUCCAGCAAUGCCGCGUGCGGGAAGAAGGCCUUCGGGUUGUAAACCGCUUUUGUACGGAACGAAAAGGCUCUGGCUAAUACCUGGGGCUGAUGACGGUACCGUAAGAAUAAGCACCGGCUAACUACGUG